This 468-nucleotide ribosomal RNA is filed under the name uncultured bacterium. RNAcentral describes it as "partial 16S ribosomal RNA". It matches the Rfam family "Bacterial small subunit ribosomal RNA", at positions 28 to 507 of the family's 1533-position model. The record is from RNAcentral.
GACGAACGCUGGCGGCGUGCUUAACACAUGCAAGUCGAACGGAAAGGCCCUGCUUUUGUGGGGUGCUCGAGUGGCGAACGGGUGAGUAACACGUGAGUAACCUGCCCUUGACUUUGGGAUAACUUCAGGAAACUGGGGCUAAUACCGGAUAGGAGCUCCUGCUGCAUUGUGGGGGUUGGAAAGUUUCGGCGGUUGGGGAUGGACUCGCGGCUUAUCAGCUUGUUGGUGGGGUAGUGGCUUACCAAGGCUUUGACGGGUAGCCGGCCUGAGAGGGUGACCGGCAACAAUGGGACUGAGAGACGGCCCAGAAUCAUACGGGAGGCAGCAGUGGGGAAUAUUGCACAAUGGGAGGAAGCCGGAGGCAGCAACGCCGCGUGCGGGAUGACGGCCUUCGGGUUGUAAACAGCUUUAGCCUGUGACGAAGCGUGAGUGACGGUAAUGGGUAAAGAAGCACCGGCUAAAUACGUG